This 550-nucleotide ribosomal RNA is filed under the name uncultured bacterium. Its description in RNAcentral is "bacterial SSU rRNA". It matches the Rfam family "Bacterial small subunit ribosomal RNA", at positions 355 to 896 of the family's 1533-position model. The record is from RNAcentral.
UAGGGAAUCUUCGGCAAUGGACGAAAGUCUGACCGAGCAACGCCGCGUGAGUGAAGAAGGUUUUCGGAUCGUAAAGCUCUGUUGUAAGAGAAGAACGAGUGUGAGAGUGGAAAGUUCACACUGUGACGGUAUCUUACCAGAAAGGGACGGCUAACUACGUGCCAGCAGCCGCGGUAAUACGUAGGUCCCGAGCGUUGUCCGGAUUUAUUGGGCGUAAAGCGAGCGCAGGCGGUUAGAUAAGUCUGAAGUUAAAGGCUGUGGCUUAACCAUAGUACGCUUUGGAAACUGUUUAACUUGAGUGCAAGAGGGGAGAGUGGAAUUCCAUGUGUAGCGGUGAAAUGCGUAGAUAUAUGGAGGAACACCGGUGGCGAAAGCGGCUCUCCGGCUUGUAACUGACGCUGAGGCUCGAAAGCGUGGGGAGCAAACAGGAUUAGAUACCCUGGUAGUCCACGCCGUAAACGAUGAGUGCUAGGUGUUAGACCCUUUCCGGGGUUUAGUGCCGUAGCUAACGUGAUAAAUCGACCGCCUGGGGAGUACGGCCGCAAGGUUA